AAUCCACUGAGGAAACCAGGUUGUUUGAGGUGGAGAGGACAGGCUGGAGGCCGUAGGAAUCUUAUAUAAAAUGACCUAGCUGUCAUAUUAAGUCAGAACUGUAAAAUAAAGGAUGGUGGAUCCUCUGGAAGGAUGAACAUCUUCAGUUCCUCCUUUGAAAUGCACAUCACAAAUCUCCUCGGCUAAAUGUACUGCUCCUUUUCUUGCAGUGGCAGCAUCCUUUGAGAUUCUUCAGUGAGAAGGAGCUUUUCAACACUGAAUGCAUCAAUGAGAUGUGAACACAACUCACUAACAUGGCUGAAUUUAGUUCC
Long non-coding RNA from Motacilla alba alba, 311 nucleotides. RefSeq lists it as uncharacterized. The record is from RefSeq and is a predicted model, not a curated record. Lineage: Eukaryota; Metazoa; Chordata; Aves; Passeriformes; Motacillidae. The transcript has 4 exons.